Molecule: microRNA precursor, 109 nt
Organism: Sorghum bicolor (sorghum)
Lineage: Eukaryota; Viridiplantae; Streptophyta; Magnoliopsida; Poales; Poaceae
Rfam family: MIR5565 microRNA precursor family
Source: Rfam
GUUGUCGGAUUCACUUCAAUCCAUGUGUGUUGGUGUGGAUUGGGAUGGAAUUGAGUUCAAGUUCUACACCAAUCCACCUCAACACAUGUGGAUUGAUGUGAAUCCGACU